GAUGAACGCUGGCGGCGUGCCUAAUACAUGCAAGUCGAGCGAACGGACGAGAAGCUUGCUUUUCUGAUGUUAGCGGCGGACGGGUGAGUAACACGUGGAUAACCUACCUAUAAGACUGGGAUAACUUCGGGAAACCGGAGCUAAUACCGGAUAAUAUUUUGAACCGCAUGGUUCAAAAGUGAAAGACGGUCUUGCUGUCACUUAUAGAUGGAUCCGCGCUGCAUUAGCUAGUUGGUAAGGUAACGGCUUACCAAGGCAACGAUGCAUAGCCGACCUGAGAGGGUGAUCGGCCAAACUGGAACUGAGACACGGUCCAGACUCCUACGGGAGGCAGCAGUAGGGAAUCUUCCGCAAUGGGCGAAAGCCUGACGGAGCAACGCCGCGUGAGUGAUGAAGGUCUUCGGAUCGUAAAACGCUGUUAUUAGGGAAGAACAUAUGUGUAAGUAACUGUGCACAUCUUGACGGUACCUAAUCAGAAAGCCACGGCUAACUACGU
Molecule: ribosomal RNA, 496 nt
Filed under: uncultured bacterium
Lineage: Bacteria
Description: partial 16S ribosomal RNA
Rfam family: Bacterial small subunit ribosomal RNA
Source: RNAcentral